RNAcentral lists this ribosomal RNA (460 nucleotides) under uncultured bacterium. RNAcentral's name for it is "partial 16S ribosomal RNA". It matches the Rfam family "Bacterial small subunit ribosomal RNA", at positions 338 to 795 of the family's 1533-position model. The record is from RNAcentral.
CCUACGGGCGGCAGCAGUGAGGAAUAUUGGUCAAUGGCCGUAAGGCUGAACCAGCCAAGUCGCGUGAAGGAAGAAGGAUCUAUGGUUUGUAAACUUCUUUUAUAGGGGAAUAAAGGUAUCCACGUGCGGAUAUUUGCAUGUAUCCCAUGAAUAAGCAUCGGCUAACUCCGUGCCAGCAGCCGCGGUAUUACGGAGGAUGCGCGCGUUAUCCGGAUUUAUUGGGUUUAAAGGGUGCGUAGGUGGGUUUUUAAGUCAGCGGUGAAAGUUUGUGGCUCAACCAUAAAAUUGCCGUUGAAACUGGAAGACUUGAGUGUGUUUGAGGUAGGCGGAAUGCGUGGUGUAGCGGUGAAAUGCUUAGAUAUCACGCAGAACUCCGAUUGCGAAGGCAGCUUACUGGGCCAUAACUGACGCUGAGGCACGAAAGCGUGGGGAUCAAACAGGAUUAGAUACCCGGGUAGUC